GAAUAUUGGUCAAUGGGUGAGAGCCUGAACCAGCCAUGCCGCGUGCAGGAAGACGGCCUUCUGGGUUGUAAACUGCUUUUAUUUGGGGAUAAAACGACCGUGCGCGGUUGAUUGAAGGUGCCAGAUGAAUAAGCCACGGCUAACUACGUGCCAGCAGCCGCGGUAAUACGUAGGUGGCGAGCGUUGUACGGAUUUAGUGGGUUUAAGGGGUGCGUAGGCGGCUAUUUAAGUCAGUGCUGAAAUACCCCGGCUUAACCGGGGGGGUGGCAUUGAUACUGGAUAGCUUGAGUACAGACGUGGUAGGCGGAAUUGACAGUGUAGCGGUGAAAUGCAUAGAUAUUGUCAAGAACACCGAUAGUGUAGACAGCUUACUAGGCUGUAACUGACGCUGAGGCACGAAAGUGUGGGGAUCAAACAGG
RNAcentral lists this ribosomal RNA (419 nucleotides) under uncultured bacterium. RNAcentral's name for it is "bacterial SSU rRNA". It matches the Rfam family "Bacterial small subunit ribosomal RNA", at positions 359 to 776 of the family's 1533-position model. The record is from RNAcentral.